AAGAUUUCUAUUUAUUCUUUUAAACUGAUUUAUGAGUUUUGUUCAAGGGUGAAACUUGCAUACAUUCUUACACUGUAUUUUUAAAUUGAAUCCCCCUUGUCUCUCUGAAAACUACAUCUUUAUUUUAUUUGGAAGUAAAUUAUUUUUUGCUUUGAAUGUUGAAUCAGAUCUGAAAAUAUUGUAAAACUUGUACACCUUUGCUGCAUUAUAAAUGGGUUGAAUAUUGCUUUUGUAUGUUUCCCCACACCUCUACACAGUAACUGAAAUAUGGUAAAAGUAAUGAAUAAUAUAAUCUAUAUGGGGCUUUCUGAUUGAGAAUAUGCCUUGUUUUCCCCAGGAUGGCAACACGUCAUAUAUCAUUUGAUUCACACAUAAAACUAAUUUACAGAACAGCCUUCUUCCACCUGCGGAACACUACAAAAAUUAGAAACAUUCUGUCCUUAAAGGACGCUGAUAAACUAGUUUAUGCUUUGUUACAUCUAGACUAGAUUACUGUAACUCCAUAUUAUCAGGAUGUUCCAACAAGUCAGUUAAUUCAAAAUGCUGCAUGAACUAGAAAGAGGGACCAUAUCACACCAAUGUUAGCUUUGCUACACUGGCUUCACCAAACAGUUUAGAAUUAAAUUAGAAAUCCUCCUCCUCAUGCACAAAGCACUUAAUGAUCAGGCCCCUUCAUACUAUAAUAACUAGUUUUACCUUGUCAUCCUAACAGAUCACUUCGGUCCCAAAAUACAGCCCUACUUGUGGUUCCCAGAGUCCUUCAGUUACCAGGCUCCUCUCCUGUGGAACUAACACCCAGUGACAGUUUGUGGGGCAGACACUCUCUCUGUAUUUAAAGUUAGACUUAAAACUUCCUUUUUGAUAAAGCUUAUAGUUAGAGCUGGCCCAGGGAGGUAGGUAUUGUUUUUACGUGCACGUUAUUUGUAAUUGAAUCAAUCACUCAUGAUUGAUCCUCUCUUCUAUCACUCCAAAGUGUCUCCUCAAAACGUCAUGUUUGCAUUGGCUCACAUUAACACACGUGAGCCCACUUCAAACAUUGUGUGUCACAUGGUCUCGGUAUGAGAAGUGUAUAGAUCUGAGUGGUUUAUUGUCAUGUGACAUUCCUACGAUGAUCAAAAGGUCUUCAGAUGGAUUGUGUCUCGAUGCAAAUGGAUGGAUGUUUAAGGGGAAGAAAGAAAGAGGAGCCACUCAGGGAGUUGAACUGCUGAGCAGAACUCCCACACUUCAGCCCGCGUCGGUUCAGUGCCGUUACUUCGAAGAGAAGCCGCAUAAACGAGCCGCAAAACGAAAAAAGACACGGAAAAAGUGACGCUGAAUUCGAGAAACUGUACUGAAAACAAAACUACCGCCGCGUGACGUCAGACGCCGGAAACGCAGCAAGAAGAUACAAGAUGGAGGCUUUGACCUGGUCCAGAUUGAUGACUCCUCUACCAAUGGUGAAGAGCAUCGUCGGGAGUCGAGCAAGGGAGGAAGGUUGAGGUGCUCCAAGCUAAGAUCUACAGAUCACUGGUUAUGCUGCGGACUGUCUACUUCAUUAAGGUACAUGUGGGCGGAGUCUUCAGAGGGCUGCUCUGCCCUGAAAAUGAGGCUGAGCUGCACAAUGUAGUGACGGGAAUGAAAGACGACGACCCAAUAAGGUACACGUGAGAGGAGACGAUUUACCUUCUCGAGCAAGACUUCAGAGGGCUGCUCUCCCCUGAAAUCGUGGUUGAGCUGCACAAUAUAGUGACGGCAACGAAA
This is a long non-coding RNA of Solea senegalensis (Senegalese sole), 1740 nucleotides long. RefSeq lists it as uncharacterized. The transcript is spliced from 5 exons. Lineage: Eukaryota; Metazoa; Chordata; Actinopteri; Pleuronectiformes; Soleidae. The record is from RefSeq and is a predicted model, not a curated record.